GCAGGUGUGGCGGAAUUGGCAGACGCGCUACCUUGAGGGGGUAGUGGACUUAUGUUCGUAUGGGUUCAAGUCCCAUCAUCUGCACCA
Molecule: transfer RNA, 87 nt
Filed under: Oceanirhabdus seepicola
Lineage: Bacteria; Bacillati; Bacillota; Clostridia; Eubacteriales; Clostridiaceae
Description: tRNA-Leu
Rfam family: tRNA
About the family: Transfer RNA (tRNA) molecules are approximately 80 nucleotides in length.
Source: RNAcentral